AGCAGCAACAAUCCUGUUGCGCCUAUCAAUCCCCGAGAGGUGUCAGUUUCGGGACCCUAUCCGAAAACGGUAGAUGUACGUCUGGUUGGUACUCCGGGUGUGACGGUGAAGAUAGUUCUUGAACCAACAUCAUAUGGUCAACCUAAACUUGAUGAAGUAGAGAUUGAUGCUUGCUUCACAUCAGUGACAACAACUACAAGUGUAACGACAACCGCAUUGCCUACAACAACCACUGCUCCAGAAACUACGACUACCACGACAUCGACAACAACUGUACCAACAACAACGACCAUACCGACAACUACAGAAUCAACGACUCCCGAGGGAACGACAUCUACAACUACGGCUACCACUAGCACAACCACGUCUACGACCACUCAUAGCACAACGACAG
Molecule: long non-coding RNA, 394 nt
Organism: Pecten maximus
Lineage: Eukaryota; Metazoa; Mollusca; Bivalvia; Pectinida; Pectinidae
Exons: 3
Source: RefSeq, a predicted model, not a curated record